RNAcentral lists this ribosomal RNA (522 nucleotides) under uncultured bacterium. RNAcentral describes it as "partial 16S ribosomal RNA". It matches the Rfam family "Bacterial small subunit ribosomal RNA", at positions 355 to 895 of the family's 1533-position model. The record is from RNAcentral.
UAGGGAAUCUUGCGCAAUGGGCGAAAGCCUGACGCAGCCAUGCCGCGUGAAUGAUGAAGGUCUUAGGAUUGUAAAAUUCUUUCACCGGGGAAGAUAAUGACGGUACCCGGAGAAGAAGCCCCGGCUAACUUCGUGCCAGCAGCCGCGGUAAUACGAAGGGGGCUAGCGUUGCUCGGAAUUACUGGGCGUAAAGGGCGCGUAGGCGGAUAUCUAAGUUGGGGGUGAAAGCCCGGGGCUCAACCUCGGAAUAGCCUUCAAUACUGGAUAUCUUGAGUUCGGGAGAGGUGAGUGGAAUGCCGAGUGUAGAGGUGAAAUUCGUAGAUAUUCGGCGGAACACCAGUGGCGAAGGCGACUCACUGGCCCGAUACUGACGCUGAGGCGCGAAAGCGUGGGGAGCAAACAGGAUUAGAUACCCUGGUAGUCCACGCCGUAAACGAUGAGUGCUAGUUGUCGGCAUGCAUGCAUGUCGGUGACGCAGCUAACGCAUUAAGCACUCCGCCUGGGGAGUACGGUCGCAAGAUU